CACGUAGGGCGCGAGCGUUGUCCGGAAUUAUUGGGCGUAAAGAGCUCGUAGGCGGCCUGUUGCGUCCGCUGUGAAAGCCCGGGGCUUAACCCCGGGUCUGCAGUGGAUACGGGCAGGCUAGAGGUAGGUAGGGGAGACUGGAAUUCCUGGUGUAGCGGUGAAAUGCGCAGAUAUCAGGAGGAACACCGGUGGCGAAGGCGGGUCUCUGGGCCGUAACUGACGCUGAGGAGCGAAAGCGUGGGGAGCGAACAGG
This 253-nucleotide ribosomal RNA is filed under the name uncultured bacterium. RNAcentral's name for it is "partial 16S ribosomal RNA". It matches the Rfam family "Bacterial small subunit ribosomal RNA", at positions 524 to 776 of the family's 1533-position model. The record is from RNAcentral.